Long non-coding RNA from Paramormyrops kingsleyae, 2775 nucleotides. RefSeq lists it as uncharacterized. NCBI's taxonomy places the organism in Eukaryota, Metazoa, Chordata, Actinopteri, Osteoglossiformes, Mormyridae. The record is from RefSeq and is a predicted model, not a curated record.
GUCGGUAUUUAAGAUUCUGCUAGAAAACCAUAUUAAAUGAAAGAAUCAUCAAUUAGGAGCCAUAUUAAUGCUGUGGACAGUGAAUUAUGUGUACUUUAUCAAAGGAUCGCCAUAUUGUGACUACCUUCCGUCUUCUAUAUGCUGUGACCAUUAUCAUCUGCCUCGCACAGACUAAUCAUGGAAGAGUUUCUGGAAAUAAACAUCAGGCAAAGAAAUUAGGAAGUAAGAGAGAAUCCUCACCAGCCACCUGAGGAAUAUCCCCGACUGGGUCUGCUACAAGCACUUCCAUUAGUCAUCAUGCAACUUUUGAAGUCGGCUAAUCAGCCUCCACCACUGGCUUAUGCACAAGAUCAGCCUGAAUAAGAGAUGAGGAUUUGUUUGCACCCAUGUCAGCACCACAUGCAUUCAUAUAUCAUGUGAGUCACGAGUUCAGGAUUGUCUUGAAAUUGCUGGCUGCACCUCCAGGAUUGUUCUACUAAUGAUAGUGUGGAGGACUGGCCACAGCUACAGGUGUUUAAGCCCAAUUUCAGCUAAACUGUAACUGGUCACCCAAAAGCAGGUUAUUCAAGUAAAUGAAUGAAACAGAUGCAUGAUUCCUCAAAUACAUACAAACUAUUUUGUACACUCCAGUCAUGAAAGGUAAAACCAUUUUAAAAACUCUAGAAUAGCGGCUGCAUAAGUAGGCUUUAAGGGCAACAGUGAUCCCCACUCUAAAAACCCAAAAGGAACAAAAAAACCCAAAAGGACUCUUCCCAAACAGAAACAAAAAUAUCAAUACAUCAGUGAACCCAGACAAUACAACAUGACAAUCCACAACUUCAAAAUCAAUAGGAACAAACCCCAAAAAAGGAAAAUGAUAAGCCCAAUGUAAACCCUCAGACACCUGACCCCUCUUAGAUGUAGUUGUCCCAAGCCAGUACUGUGAGUUCACCGUACCCAAUUAAAUUUAACAAACUGAUUAUUUAACUAUAAGAGAAAAGAGAAAAAAACCCUAAAAUUAAUUAUAUUCCAGUCAUACAUCCCCCAAAUCACCCUACGACCCACACAGACCACUCACUGAACACUCCGGCACAUGCACACAACAGACACACCAUACAACCCAAAAGUUAAAUGACCAGCACAAUUGCCCAAAUGCAACUCCAAAGAGGAAAAGUGAGCAACAAGUUCCUGUGACGAUACGUUGGAACCUACAACCAGGAAACACUACAGCCAUCCAAGGUGUCUCAACCUGCCUCACAUGCGAGCAGGUUAAACUGGAAAAAAAAAAUCACCAGACCCACCCCCCCUUGGUAUCGGAGACUCUCAAAUUCCCAAAAGCAACCUCCACAGCACCUGACAUGCGGUGGGAUAAAACCCAUCUUGCACGUAACGUGAGUUGCCGACAUCGGCAUAAUCGUAUUUAACUUCAAGCAAUUGCUAUUCUUUUCUUAGCUCAAAAGCAGCAUUGAUUUGUUGACCUGCGUUCCCUUGAAAAAGUUGUUUUGACUCACACACCAGACACUGACCAUGUCCUGGUUUUAUGUCUACAUUUUAUUCACGGGCAUCGAUAGGCCCAUUUUAGAGGGGCUUCAGUCCUUCUGAAAUGCUCUUCAGUCCCCCCGUUGUAAAUGUACACUAUUAAGUUUAAAUGAUGUGUUCUUGUUUACUUUCAUUCAAAUGAAAAGAAAAACCUAGUAAAAGCUUGGCCCCCUUUCCCAUAAAUCUCUAGUGACACUCCUGAUCUUAUUUAUAGCAGAACAUGGAGGUAAAUACCCGGCAUGAGUCUAAGAAACAAUAGGAGCUAAAACGGAACCUGUCCCGUGGUUUGUGGCAUGUUUAUGCUCAGCUAUGGGGAUACUGAGCGUCUCGGGGGACCAGCUGUCUCACUCUUUGCCUGACCUACCUGCAGCACCCAAGGAACAUUCCUGCAGUUCACUCCACAUUCACUCCACUGAAGGUCUGCUCUCAUUUUCCAUUACCAGAUUGGUUCCUAAAUAAAUCUAAAAAUCCCAUAAAUGACCCCAUAUAUUUGAUUAAGCAUCUGCUUUCAAAUAAAAUGGAGUCUGUUGGCUUAAUCCUGACGGUGCUACGACAUAUUUGGAUGAAGAAAAACGUGAUCGGAAAGUAAUGUGUUUACAGCUACAGAGAUUCCAUCUUGCAAUCUUAUUUAGAGUUUUUAAAAAAUCAUCUUAAUGGCGUGCAGAAGAGAUUCUCCAAGGCAAGCUCCAUCCCGCUCCAGUGAAAACUUCUCCCUAAACACAUCAUUAUCUCAGUAAUUCAAUAGCACGCAUAGUUAUCCUAGCUGCCUUUGUCCCCGAUUAAUUCCGGAAUGUAUGUGCUGUAAACAUGCCCCCUUCCUGCUAUCACAAGCCUGCCUCACCUGGUGGAUCUACGGUUACUUUUCAUUACACUGUUGCUGCCACAAGGCCUUUAGUUAGAAGAAGGGCCUUGAUUACUGGCAAGUAGGACGGUUUCCAUAUACCUGCAGUAGAUAAUACAGAUGCUGUGUUGAAGGCCUGAAUUAAGGAUCCUUAAAUUAUAGUUUAACUUCUGAGGGACCGUGGGACACCUUGGGAUUCCUACAUGGGUAUUCAAAUAGCCACUAAAGGCAUAAGUGUGCUUUGACAAAAGUUUGGAUUCCUGUCUUAAAUAAUUAACCACGUUACUUCACCUUUACACUGCUUUUAUGCUCUUCCUAAGUAGACGUACGUGAAACGUGAAAUCUUGAAAUGGUUGGAGUUCCUAUACGUGCUACAUAAGAUACACCUUGGCCAAGUGGGGGACCUAAUUAGCAUG